Molecule: long non-coding RNA, 1862 nt
Organism: Canis lupus familiaris (dog)
Lineage: Eukaryota; Metazoa; Chordata; Mammalia; Carnivora; Canidae
Exons: 3
Source: RefSeq, a predicted model, not a curated record
UCGAUCUCACACCUCGAGAUCAGGACCUGAGCCGAAACCAAGAGUCAGAUGCUCAACCAGCUGCACCACCCAGGGGCCCCGGGAUUAUUUAUUUUUUUUUCUAAUUUUUCUUUCUGAUACUUUGUUAUUAGUGAAUAGCAACAAAACUGACUUUUGGAUAUCAAUUUGGUAUCGUGCAACUUUACCGAAUUUGUUGAUUAGUUCUGACCGCUGGUCUGUUCUUGAAGGUUCCAGUGGGGAAAAUAUCCUGUGCCCCGGUCCCCAUGGAGCAUCCUCCAGUUCCCGCAAAUAUGUGACGUCCAAGGCUCUUCCUUGGUUUCCCAAGGCUCUUUGGUUCGUGUGAUGCCACCCAAGGCCCCCAUGUCCAUCCUCACUGAAUCAGGGGUUGCUACAGGACUCCUGCUGGGAGAGGGUGGGUGGGAGGGAGGGUCUGAGAGCAGGGCCCCCCUGGCACAGGGCGAGAGUUGCUAAAUGCUGAAAGCCAGCUGCCCUCGGCUCUGUGUCCAACUUGGUUCUGCUGUCUUGGGGAAAUCCUUUCUCUUCCAGAGUGCCCCCAGGUUCCUCCAGACAGCCACCUGGACAGAGGUAGGGCGACAGAGGUGUAAGGAGAGCCCGAAUGCGGAGGGGUAGCACGGGGGUCUUCCCCCUUCCCCGUGACAGCCACCCCAACCAGGGGUCUCAGGUGGGCCUCUUUGCAGCUCUGCGGACCCUCUGCUGCUUCCCGAGCUCUAGUAAAAACCUCCAGGCUUCUAUCCCCUUGCAGCCCCCUGCUGGGGACCAGAGGCUCCGGUUAGGCCGGAUGUGAGAGAGGGAAGGGAGCCUGCAGAAGCAACAGAGCCCUACCUGGACGGCCAAGGCCCGAUUUACUCGCUCUAGCCCGCCCCGCCUCCCCCUUGCCGACACAGACCCACACUCGCCGCCCUGGGGGAACCUUUUCCAGCUGUGCCAGCUGAGAUGCAGUGUCCCUUGCUUCACGGUGCUGAGCCGGUGGCCAGGGGAGGACUCUCCCCGGGACGGGCCUGGGCUGGCUGCAGCUCCCCGGCUCCCUCCGGUCCUCCUGACACCAGCCCGUUCUGUGCUAGGUCCCUUCUGAACGUCGUCCCUCUGUAGGUCCCCAGGGAUGGCGUCAGUCCACCGUCCUCGUAGGGACGGGCGCUGGGGCUGGAGCCUUGGACCUUAUAGGAGGAAGGGAGACUCUUUAACAUGGAGAAUGAUGGUGAUUGUGCAGGAAGAGGGUACUCAGGGCAAUAGAAGGGUGUGCUCAUUCCCAAAUGCCAAAGGUAUUUCUUGCAGAACAGACCUCCAGGUGUGGCCUCAGGGCAGGGCCAGGACCAGGGCCACAGAAAAAGCAGCGAACAGACUCACAGACUCGCCUCGUGUAAAGGCUGGAUUGCCUUUUAAUGUAAAAAUAGGCCGGUGAUCAAGUCUCUGACGACCCAGUCAUGAUGCUGAGCUUUCCCACAUGCCGACACCCCCGUGAGUAGACUCCAUGCCCAGUGUGGAGCCCAGUGUGGGGCUUGAACUCACGACCCCGAGCUCAAGACCUGGAGCUGAGAUCGAGUUUUGGGGGCCAGACGACUUUUACCUCCGAACUCUCCCACCAUGUGCGCGUCGGUUCGGACGGGCUCCUCGUGCUGCCGUGACCGACAGGACCCUGGUUGCCGAAGACAAAUGCUUAUUUGCUUGUGCUACAUGUUGAUUGUGCAUCGGCUGGGAGCGCUUUGCCCACGUUUGCCGACUCCUGGGUGACUACAGAAGAGACUACGACUGCCCUCUUUCUCUCCAAAAGCAACUACUGCGCUGACCUCCGUAGCGAUCACUUCCUUGUAUUUGUUUGUCUUUAAUGAAACUUUAAAUUUUGA